CCUACGGGUGGCUGCAGUGGGGAAUAUUGGACAAUGGGGGGAACCCUGAACCAGCCAUGCCGCGUGUGUGAAGAAGGCCCUCGGGUUGUAAAGCACUUUCAGUGAGGAAGAACGCCUGGUGGUUAAUACCCAUCAGGAAAGACAUCACUCACAGAAGAAGCACCGGCUAACUCCGUGCCAGCAGCCGCGGUAAUACGGAGGGUGCGAGCGUUAAUCGGAAUUACUGGGCGUAAAGCGCGCGUAGGUGGCUUGAUAAGCCGGUUGUGAAAGCCCCGGGCUCAACCUGGGAACGGCAUCCGGAACUGUCAAGCUAGAGUGCAGGAGAGGAAGGUAGAAUUCCCGGUGUAGCGGUGAAAUGCGUAGAGAUCGGGAGGAAUACCAGUGGCGAAGGCGGCCUUCUGGACUGACACUGACACUGAGGUGCGAAAGCGUGGGUAGCAAACAGGAUUAGAUACCCCAGUAGUC
RNAcentral lists this ribosomal RNA (465 nucleotides) under Vreelandella stevensii. RNAcentral describes it as "partial 16S ribosomal RNA". It matches the Rfam family "Bacterial small subunit ribosomal RNA", at positions 338 to 795 of the family's 1533-position model. The record is from RNAcentral. Lineage: Bacteria; Pseudomonadati; Pseudomonadota; Gammaproteobacteria; Oceanospirillales; Halomonadaceae.